UGCAAGCUCGUUCUCCGAGUCAGUAGUGCAGAUUGACACAGCAGGCUUGCACAGUAGAUAGCGGGCAGAGAGAGCAGCCAGAGUACUGCAAGUAAUUUCAGUCAGUUGGCUCACUAGGCAGUCCACUCUAUGCUUCCUAUUCAUACGUCUGGUUUGUAUGUGAGCAGAUAACGAGAGCACACAGGAAACACACACAGCAAUGAUUACGAAUUCGAGCUAUGUAUCCGAGGUUCCUCUAGAGAUUUGCGAGAUAUCCGGUAGUUCGCGAGGUAGGGGCUCAACAAGCUCAGCGAUGGCUAGACGGCCUGAGAGGGUGAAUGGCCACACGCGCACUGAGUCACGGGCAUGAAUCCCAGGGAGUCAGCACGAAGGAAUAUUGGGCAAUUGGCGCAAGCAUGAUCCAUAGACGCCGCGUGGCGGACGAAGGCUAUCGGGCUUUCACCUCAUAACCCAUAUUCUGAAGGGAACAAGUGAUAUUCCCGUUAGACUUCAGACAAAAAAGUGAGACGAAGUCAUGGCGAACUCCCGGCCAGCAGCCCCGGUAAUUCGCAGACGGCAUCCGAAAUUAGGAAUCACCCGGCUUAAAGCGCAAGUUGGCGGCAAGAUUAGCUGAAGGUGAAAGCCCCUGGUUCACUCAGGGAAGUGCACCCAAUACUGUCAUUUAUGUAUAAGGAAGGGGAAAGUUGAACUCAUAGGGGAGCGGUGAACAACCCGGAGGCAAGGAUCCCGCACGGGACGAAAUGCAUCCAGUGGUCGCCCCGAGGCAAUAGUCCACAAGACAGGGGAGGUUGGGGUAUUAGAUACCUCCCUGGUCCAAACUGUCAACACUGGGCAUCAGGCAGGGGGGUUUACCUCUGCGCCGGAGCAAAAGCAUUAAGUGCCCCGCCUGGGGAGUACGG
This 899-nucleotide ribosomal RNA is filed under the name uncultured bacterium. Its description in RNAcentral is "bacterial SSU rRNA". It matches the Rfam family "Bacterial small subunit ribosomal RNA", at positions 56 to 885 of the family's 1533-position model. The record is from RNAcentral.